Non-coding RNA from Pelobates cultripes (western spadefoot toad), 365 nucleotides. NCBI's taxonomy places the organism in Eukaryota, Metazoa, Chordata, Amphibia, Anura, Pelobatidae. The record is from the annotation of a GenBank genome assembly.
UGCAUCAAGUUGUAAGAUGUAACAACGAGAGUUAGGGCCUUUCCAAUACAUUUUAGUAAAAUAAAGAUUGCAAGAAGUGUGCAGCCUCAAAGAGACGCACAUAUAAUGAAAUCUAUUUCCUAUUGCUAGUAUAAUUCUAUUUCACCACAAGAGGGCAUCUAAAGCAAAACGAUAUAUAGAAAGUUAUAGAAAAUAGGGCUUAGCUGUUACCUAGUUUGCUCUUGCUGUCUAUUAAUGGUACCAAAUGUACUGACACCCAUUUAUUUACAAACUAGUCCACACCAUAAGAGAAGAGCAAAAUAAAGAGGAACAUAGACACACUUGACGCGCGUUUCAUUUGUGUAUGUACACCAGGCCCAUCACAG